This 498-nucleotide ribosomal RNA is filed under the name uncultured bacterium. Its description in RNAcentral is "partial 16S ribosomal RNA". It matches the Rfam family "Bacterial small subunit ribosomal RNA", at positions 30 to 523 of the family's 1533-position model. The record is from RNAcentral.
AUUGAACGCUGGCGGCAUGCCUUACACAUGCAAGUCGGACGGUAACAGGUCUUCGGAUGCUGACGAGUGGCGAACGGGUGAGUAAUGCAUCGGAACGUGCCCAGUUGUGGGGGAUAACUGCUCGAAAGAGCAGCUAAUCCCGCAUACGACCUGAGGGUGAAAGCGGGGGAUCGCAAGACCUCGCGCAAUUGGAGCGGCCGAUGUCAGAUUAGGUAGUUGGUGGGGUAAAGGCCUACCAAGCCGACGAUCUGUAGUUGGUCUGAGAGGACGACCAGCCACACUGGGACUGAGACACGGCCCAGACUCCUACGGGAGGCAGCAGUGGGGAAUUUUGGACAAUGGGCGCAAGCCUGAUCCAGCAAUGCCGCGUGCAGGAAGAAGGCCUUCGGGUUGUAAACUGCUUUUGUCAGGGAAGAAAUCCUCUGGGUUAAUACCCCGGGGGGAUGACGGUACCUGAAGAAUAAGCACCGGCUAACUACGUGCCAGCCGCCGCCGUAA